GAGGGGGCGAGCGUUGUUCGGAGUGACUGGGCGUAAAGAGCACGUAGGCGGUGUUGUAAGUCAUUAGUCAAAGGCUAGAGCUCAACUUUAGUAAGGCUAGUGAUACUAUAAUACUAGAGUAUCAGAGAGGAAUGCAGAAUUCCUGGUGUAGCGGUGAAAUGCGUAGAUAUCAGGAGGAAUACCGGUAGCGAAGGCGGCAAUCUGGCUGGAAACUGACGCUGAGGUGCGAAAGCGUGGGUAGCAAA
Molecule: ribosomal RNA, 245 nt
Filed under: uncultured bacterium
Lineage: Bacteria
Description: partial 16S ribosomal RNA
Rfam family: Bacterial small subunit ribosomal RNA
Source: RNAcentral